CAGAUUCCUACGGGAGGCAGCAGUAGGGAAUCUUCCGCAAUGGACGAAAGUCUGACGGAGCAACGCCGCCUGAGUGAUGAAGGUUUUCGGAUCGUAAAGCUCUGUUGUUAGGGAAGAACAAGUGCCGUUCAAAUAGGGCGGCACCUUGACGGUACCUAACCAGAAAGCCACGGCUAACUACGUGCCAGCAGCCGCGGUAAUACGUAGGUGGCAAGCGUUGUCCGGAAUUAUUGGGCGUAAAGGGCUCGCAGGCGGUUUCUUAAGUCUGAUGUGAAAGCCCCCGGCUCAACCGGGGAGGGUCAUUGGAAACUGGGGAACUUGAGUGCAGAAGAGGAGAGUGGAAUUCCACGUGUAGCGGUGAAAUGCGUAGAGAUGUGGAGGAACACCAGUGGCGAAGGCGACUCUCUGGUCUGUAACUGACGCUGAGGAGCGAAAGCGUGGGGAGCGAACAGGAUUAGAUACCCUGGUAGUCCACGCCGUAAACGAUGAGUGCUAAGUGUUAGGGGGUUUCCGCCCCUUAGUGCUGCAGCUAACGCAUUAAGCACUCCGCCUGGGGAGUACGGUCGCAAGACUGAAACUCAAAGGAAUUGACGGGGGCCCGCACAAGCGGUGGAGCAUGUGGUUUAAUUCGAAGCAACGCGAAGAACCUUACCAGGUCUUGACAUCCUCUGACAAUCCUAGAGAUAGGACGUCCCCUUCGGGGGCAGAGUGACAGGUGGUGCAUGGUUGUCGUCAGCUCGUGUCGUGAGAUGUUGGGUUAAGUCCCGCAACGAGCGCAACCCUUGAUCUUAGUUGCCAGCAUUCAGUUGGGCACUCUAAGGUGACUGCCGGUGACAAACCGGAGGAAGGUGGGGAUGACGUCAAAUCAUCAUGCCCCUUAUGACCUGGGCUACACACGUGCUACAAUGGACAGAACAAAGGGCAGCGAAACCGCGAGGUUAAGCCAAUCCCACAAAUCUGUUCUCAGUUCGGAUCGCAGUCUGCAACUCGACUGCGUGAAGCUGGAAUCGCUAGUAAUCGCGGAUCAGCAUGCCGCGGUGAAUACGUUCC
This 1050-nucleotide ribosomal RNA is filed under the name Bacillus nematocida. RNAcentral describes it as "bacterial SSU rRNA". It matches the Rfam family "Bacterial small subunit ribosomal RNA", at positions 332 to 1374 of the family's 1533-position model. Lineage: Bacteria; Bacillati; Bacillota; Bacilli; Caryophanales; Bacillaceae. The record is from RNAcentral.